GAUGAACGCUAGCUACAGGCUUAACACAUGCAAGUCGAGGGGCAGCAUGAACUUAGCUUGCUAAGUUUGAUGGCGACCGGCGCACGGGUGAGUAACACGUAUCCAACCUGCCGAUGACUCGGGGAUAGCCUUUCGAAAGAAAGAUUAAUACCCGAUGGCAUAGUUCUUCCGCAUGGUGGAACUAUUAAAGAAUUUCGGUCAUCGAUGGGGAUGCGUUCCAUUAGGUUGUUGGCGGGGUAACAGCCCACCAAGCCUUCGAUGGAUAGGGGUUCUGAGAGGAAGGUCCCCCACAUUGGAACUGAGACACGGUCCAAACUCCUACGGGAGGCAGCAGUGAGGAAUAUUGGUCAAUGGACGAGAGUCUGAACCAGCCAAGUAGCGUGAAGGAUGACUGCCCUAUGGGUUGUAAACUUCUUUUAUACGGGAAUAAAGUGAGGCACGUGUGCCUUUUUGUAUGUACCGUAUGAAUAAGGAUCGGCUAACUCCGUGCCAGCAGCCGCGGUAAUACGGAGGA
This 514-nucleotide ribosomal RNA is filed under the name uncultured Bacteroidales bacterium. RNAcentral describes it as "bacterial SSU rRNA". It matches the Rfam family "Bacterial small subunit ribosomal RNA", at positions 28 to 532 of the family's 1533-position model. Lineage: Bacteria; Pseudomonadati; Bacteroidota; Bacteroidia; Bacteroidales. The record is from RNAcentral.